Molecule: transfer RNA, 69 nt
Filed under: Chrysolina herbacea
Lineage: Eukaryota; Metazoa; Arthropoda; Insecta; Coleoptera; Chrysomelidae
Description: tRNA-Gln
Source: RNAcentral
UAUGUUUUAGUAUCUUAUGUACACAAAUUUUUGAUAUUUGAAGUAAUGGUUUAAUUCCAUUAAGCAUAU